UGGAGCUGAGACUUCAGACAGCAGACGGACUUCUGAGGAGGAACAUCAGCACCACACGAGAGUGACUGUAGCUGAAGCAGAAAGAAGCUUUUUAAAACUGAAACUAAUCAAAUCAUACCUGAGAUCCACCAUGUCACAAGAGCACCUCAGCAGCCUCGCUGUCAGAAACAUCAACCAUACAAGUGCUGGUCAGAUUUGCAACGAUGAUGUAAUUGAUGACUUUGCAACAAACAAAGCAAGAAAGGUGGCAGCAGGAUGGGGGCAGGUCAUGACGAGGAAAGGAGACUCUCUGCUUGCAGGUUUCGAGUUAACUCGAGUUAAUCACUAGUGUUGACUAUAUUCAUUCCCUCCCACUUUAUCACAUCUCUGUAUCUUAACUCUAUCUGCUAUUAUAAGCACUAUGCCGGCUGUGUGUCUGCCUUUGAGCACAGGUAAGAACUC
Long non-coding RNA from Silurus meridionalis, 441 nucleotides. RefSeq lists it as uncharacterized. The record is from RefSeq and is a predicted model, not a curated record. The transcript is spliced from 3 exons. Lineage: Eukaryota; Metazoa; Chordata; Actinopteri; Siluriformes; Siluridae.